AGCGAACGCUGGCGGCAGGCCUAACACAUGCAAGUCGAACGAACCUUUCGGGGUUAGUGGCGGACGGGUGAGUAACACGUGGGAACGUGCCUUUAGGUUCGGAAUAACUCAGGGAAACUUGUGCUAAUACCGAAUGUGCCCUUCGGGGGAAAGAUUUAUCGCCUUUAGAGCGGCCCGCGUCUGAUUAGCUAGUUGGUUGAGGUAAUGGCUCACCAAGGCGACGAUCAGUAGUUGGUCUGAGAGGAUGAUCAGCCACAUUGGGACUGAGACACGGCCCAAACUCCUACGGGAGGCAGCAGUGGGGAAUCUUGCGCAAUGGGCGAAAGCCUGACGCAGCCAUGCCGCGUGAAUGAUGAAGGUCUUAGGAUUGUAAAAUUCUUUCACCGGGGACGAUAAUGACGGUACCCGGAGAAGAAGCCCCGGCUAACUUCGUG
This 434-nucleotide ribosomal RNA is filed under the name uncultured bacterium. Its description in RNAcentral is "partial 16S ribosomal RNA". It matches the Rfam family "Bacterial small subunit ribosomal RNA", at positions 29 to 507 of the family's 1533-position model. The record is from RNAcentral.